GUGGGGGAUAUUGCACAAUGGGGGAAACCCUGAUGCAGCAACGCCGCGUGAGGGAAGACGGUUUUCGGAUUGUAAACCUCUGUCCUUGGUGACGAUAAUGACGGUAGCCAAGGAGGAAGCUCCGGCUAACUACGUGCCAGCAGCCGCGGUAAUACGUAGGGAGCAAGCGUUGUCCGGAUUUACUGGGUGUAAAGGGUGCGUAGGCGGAUUGGCAAGUCAGUAGUGAAAUCCAUGGGCUUAACCCAUGACGUGCUAUUGAAACUGUUGAUCUUGAGUGAAGUAGAGGUAAGCGGAAUUCCCGGUGUAGCGGUGAAAUGCGUAGAGAUCGGGAGGAACACCAGUGGCGAAGGCGGCUUACUGGGCUUUAACUGACGCUGAGGCACGAAAGCAUGGGUAGCAAACAGGAUUAGAAACCCGAGUAGUCC
Molecule: ribosomal RNA, 425 nt
Filed under: uncultured bacterium
Lineage: Bacteria
Description: bacterial SSU rRNA
Rfam family: Bacterial small subunit ribosomal RNA
Source: RNAcentral